GUGAAAUUGUUGAAAGGGAAGCGCUUGCAACCAGACCUGCCUGCAGUUGCUCAUCCGGGCUUUUGCCCGGUGCACUCUUCUGCUGUCAGGCCAGCAUCGGUUCGGGCGGUCGGAUAAAGGCUUCGGGAAUGUAGCUCCUCUCGAGGAGUGUUAUAGCCCGUUGCGAAAUGCGGCCAGCCUGAACUGAGGUCCGCGCUUCGGCUAGGAUGCUGGCGUAAUGGUUGUAAGCGGCCCGUCUUGAAACACGGACCAAGGAGUCUAACAUCUGUGCGAGUGUUUGGGUGUCAAACCCGUACGCGUAAUGAAAGUGAACGGAGGCGGGAACCCCUCGGGGUGCACCGUCGACCGAUCCUGAUGUCUUCGGAUGGAUUUGAGUAAGAGCAUAGCUGUUGGGACCCGAAAGAUGGUGAACUAUGCCUGAAUAGGGUGAAGCCAGAGGAAACUCUGGUGGAGGCUCGCAGCGGUUCUGACGUGCAAAUCGAUCGUCAAAUUUGGGCAUAGGGGCGAAAGACUAAUCGAACUAUCUAGUAGCUGGUUCCUGCCGAAGUUUCCCUCAGGAUAGCAGUAACGUUUUCAGUUUUAUGAGGUAAAGCGAAUGAUUAGAGGCCUGGGGGUUGAAACAACCUUCACCUAUUCUCAAACUUUAAAUAUGUAAGAAGUCCUUGUUGCUUAGUUG
This 676-nucleotide ribosomal RNA is filed under the name uncultured Ascomycota. RNAcentral's name for it is "LSU rRNA". It matches the Rfam family "Eukaryotic large subunit ribosomal RNA", at positions 399 to 1097 of the family's 3401-position model. The record is from RNAcentral. Lineage: Eukaryota; Fungi; Ascomycota.